Molecule: long non-coding RNA, 805 nt
Organism: Triticum urartu
Lineage: Eukaryota; Viridiplantae; Streptophyta; Magnoliopsida; Poales; Poaceae
Source: RefSeq, a predicted model, not a curated record
GACCGUCAGAUUUCAUUCUUAAAUUUCGGAGAAUGAAAACUUGCCUAGCCCCAAAUCCGAGGCUAUCGUCUGUCAUUCUUCCUGAUUUCAGCCACUCUCUUCGUCCUCACGCGCUAGCCUCCUCAGAUGCCCAUCGCCGCCGCCGCCAAAUCUCCCAUCCACCACCGCCCCCGCCGCCAAAUCUCCACCACCACCGCCGCUAAAUCUCCCAUUCACCGUCGCCGCUACCAUGAAUCCCGCCUUCUCAGUCGCCGUCGGCGCAUCCCCCCGCGGGUGAUAGCGCCUUCCUCGAUGCCUCUUCCCUCGUCCUCUACUAAGGAUUUCGCGACGCCUCUUCCCUCGUUCGAGGUCGUGCCGCCUCCGGUGACCGCAACAUCGUCGUCCAGAUCUUAGCUCUGCAGCAUGCCGCCCUCCAGCCACCGGAUCCGGACAGCAGAUCGACUUCUUGACGACUCCUCGCUAGCCCACGGAAAAUAAAGAAACCUCUUGCUACAGGCACAAGGUUAUCAAAUAGUGGGUGAAGUGUAAUGUUGGACGAACAGAAUGAAGAAAAGAAGAUCCUCAUGCAAUGAAAAUCUUUCUUGGGUGGUCUAAUAAUGUGAAGAUUCAGUUUUUAUGUAACCUUGGCUAGAUUGUGAUAAUUUGAUGUUGUUGUGAACCUUUGUCGUAUUACAAAGAUUGAACUUUUUACAAAGUCUCAUGUUGAAGUUCUAUGUAUUGGCAUGGUUCAGUUUAAUGCAAAACAUUGCUAUGUGUGAACAAAUAAGCUGUCAAUGUUGGUGUUGGUACAGAUUUAUUCAUCCUA